CUAGAGAUAGAAAGUUACUUCGGUACAUCGGUGACAGGUGGUGCAUGGUUGUCGUCAGCUCGUGUCGUGAGAUGUUGGGUUAAGUCCCGCAACGAGCGCAACCCCUAUUGUUAGUUGCCAUCAUUCAGUUGGGCACUUUAGAGAGACUGCCGGUGUUAAGCCGGAGGAAGGUGGGGAUGACGUCAAGUCCUCAUGGCCUUUAUGUCUAGGGCUACACACGUGCUACAAUGGGUGGUACAAAGAGCAGCUAACUCGCGAGAGUAUGCAAAUCUCAAAAAGCCAUCCUCAGUUCGGAUUGGAGUCUGCAACUCGACUCCAUGAAGUUGGAAUCGCUAGUAAUCGCGGAUCAGCAUGCCGCGGUCGAAUACGUUCCGGGCCUU
Molecule: ribosomal RNA, 380 nt
Filed under: uncultured Smithella sp.
Lineage: Bacteria; Pseudomonadati; Thermodesulfobacteriota; Syntrophia; Syntrophales; Smithellaceae
Description: bacterial SSU rRNA
Rfam family: Bacterial small subunit ribosomal RNA
Source: RNAcentral